This is a long non-coding RNA of Puntigrus tetrazona (Sumatra barb), 1189 nucleotides long. RefSeq lists it as uncharacterized. NCBI's taxonomy places the organism in Eukaryota, Metazoa, Chordata, Actinopteri, Cypriniformes, Cyprinidae. The transcript is spliced from 4 exons. The record is from RefSeq and is a predicted model, not a curated record.
GGCUAUUUCUACGCGAAGUAUUGCCAGCCUGUCUGCCUUACCAAGCGUUUACCAUUGUUCUACUGACUACUAUUGGUUAUGACCUUUGCUUGCUUCACCGACUCACGACUUCACGGAUCAUCCUUGUUUGUUACGGUAACCGAUUACUACUGAACUUUGAUAUUGACCAUUGCCUCCAUUCGACUUUGCCCACGGAUUUCCCUUUGUGUAUGUUUGCCUUCCGGACUGAUAUUACUGUUGCCAACCCUUGCUUGUUUUUGACCAUCCUCAUCUGUGUGUGUGUUUCCAAUAAACAUCCGCACAUGGAAUCGCAAUCGGCUUCCGCCUCCUCCUUACAGCUUCUCAAGUGGAUUAUGAAAACAUUGAAAGCGUAACGUAUCAAAAAAUACAAUACUAUAAAAAAUAUAACUUGUGCAUUAUCAACAUAUUAGUGCACUGCUGCCUCUCACUGCUUCAUUAAUGUUAUUGUUUUUUUGUGGCUACUUGAAUAUUUUAAUUAAGUGUUUUUAAAAUCAGUAAGUAAAUUGUUUUAUUUGCCUUAAGUUUUGGUUACUUAAUAAAACCUAGUGAGUAUAAUAACUAAGUACACCUCCCUAAGUAAGGUAAAAUAUUGGAUUUUACAGUGUUACUUUAACGUGUGUCGGGAGAGAGAAUGAAUUCAGGUGUAUAUAAAACAUUUCAUAAAAUAUCAAGCAUGUUUGUGGAUAUUAGUAAUAAAAAAGGAAAAACUAUCAGGAUAAACAUUUUAACAUAACGGUCACCUAAAAAAGCUCCCCCUCUUCAUCUAGAAUAUCUGAAACUUAAGUGUGAAAGGGUUAACUGUGAUCGGGUUUCUAAAGGCAGGCUGACAUCGGGAUUUAUUGAGAGGAAAUGACUCCAUUUUAGAUAAGCACUUCAGCUAAACAAACCAAAAGCAAAAGAAAGGUCGAGCGCAAACGUCCUACUGUGUCUUUACGUCAGACGGCAGCGAGCCAGUGAAAGAUGAUGGCAUCUGCUGAGCAGCAUAGAGACACACCGCAAAAAAAACUGAAACAAAACCAAGGUGAUGCUCGCGCUGGAGUUUCCGUUAAUCUGACCGCUCAGACAAGAGCAUCUGUAAAUUUUCCUGUAUUUCACGGAAACACCAUCGGAUCGCUAACCCUCAGCUACAAUGAUGGAAAAGAGGGAAACAGCUCAGAGACAGAGAUGG